Molecule: non-coding RNA, 617 nt
Organism: Artibeus jamaicensis (Jamaican fruit-eating bat)
Lineage: Eukaryota; Metazoa; Chordata; Mammalia; Chiroptera; Phyllostomidae
Source: the annotation of a RefSeq genome assembly
CUGGGAAGACAGAGCUCCAGCUCCUGGAACCCAGCUCUGCUCUACACACCAUGGCCUGGACCCCCGUGCUCCUCCUCGUGCUCCUCUCUCACUGCACAGGUUCCCUGUCCCAGCCUGUGCUGACUCAGCCGCCCUCCCUCUCUGCAUCUCCGGGAGCCACAGCCAGACUCACCUGCACCCUCAGCAGUGGCUUCAGUGUUGCUGACUACCACAUUCGCUGGUUCCAGCAGAAGCCAGGGAGCCCUCCCCGGUACCUCCUGAGGUACAAAUCAGACUCAGAGAAGCACCAGGGCUCCGGGGUCCCCAGCCGCUUUUCUGGAUCCAAGGACACAUCAGCCAAUGCAGGGCUCCUGCUCAUCUCUGGGCUACAGCCUGAGGACGAGGCUGACUAUUACUGUAAUAUGUGGCACGAUAGCAGUAAAACUUACACGGUGCUCCAGAGUCACGGGGAAGUGAGACUAAAACCCUCCCUGUGCUCUUUCUGUCCGUGGCUAUCACCCCUGAUCUGCCUGGGACCAAGUCCAACUCAGGGUGUCAUUUGUUGUCACUUCUUCAGUGGGCAACUGUUUUCCCAAGACUCAUGGGCAUGUGAUUUUUUUCUGAUUCACUGUAGUUAA